RNAcentral lists this long non-coding RNA (2912 nucleotides) under Brassica napus (rape). RNAcentral describes it as "long non-coding RNA (BNAP_LNC025373)". The record is from RNAcentral. Lineage: Eukaryota; Viridiplantae; Streptophyta; Magnoliopsida; Brassicales; Brassicaceae.
UGCAGAUGCCGCUACCGCCGAGGCAGAAUCCUGAGUUUCAGCUCAUCGAAACCAGUCCUCCGUUAGCAGCACGGAGGAGACAAUCUUACUAUUACCGGAGCAGCGGAGACAAAACCUCGAGCACCUACGACCUCGUGGAGCAGAUGCAUUACCUCUACGUCAGCGUCGUGAAGGCUCGAGAUCUCCCUGUGAUGGACGUCUCCGGUAGCUUAGAUCCUUACGUGGAAGUGAAGCUUGGUAACUACAAAGGCCUGACGAAGCAUUUGGAGAAGAAUCAGAACCCGAUCUGGAAGCAGAUCUUCGCCUUCUCUAAAGAGAGGUUGCAGUCGAAUCUUCUUGAAGUCACUGUUAAAGACAAAGAUCUCAUCACCAAAGAUGAUUUUGUCGGAAGGGUGUUGAUCGAUCUCACUGAAGUUCCUCUGAGAGUUCCUCCGGAUAGUCCUCUUGCUCCACAGUGGUACAGGCUUGAGGACAAGAAAGGGAUGAAGACGAACAGAGGAGAGGUCAUGCUUGCUGUCUGGAUGGGAACUCAAGCUGAUGAGUCGUUCCCUGACGCUUGGCACUCGGAUGCUCACCGCGUGAGCCAUUCGAACCUUUCCAACACUCGGUCCAAAGUUUACUUCUCGCCGAAGCUGUAUUACCUAAGGAUUCAUGUGAUGGAGGCUCAAGAUCUUGUGCCGUCUGAUAAAGGAAGAGUACCUGAUGCGAUAGUUAAGAUUCAGGCGGGGAAUCAGAUGAGAGCGACGAGGACGCCUCAGAUGCGGACAAUGAGUCCUCAGUGGGGGGAGGAGCUUAUGUUUGUUGUGUCUGAGCCGUUUGAGGAUAUGGUGAUUGUGUCGGUUGAUGAUAGGAUUGGUCCUGGGAAAGAUGAGAUACUGGGGAGGUUGUUUAUACCUGUGAGGGAUGUUCCGGUGAGGCAAGAGACUGGGAAGAUGCCUGAUCCACGGUGGUUUAAUCUCCAGAGACAUUCGAUGUCUAUGGAGGAAGAGACUGAGAAGAAGAAAGAGAAGUUCUCUAGUAAGAUUCUGCUUAGGCUUUGUAUUGAAGCUGGGUACCAUGUUCUUGAUGAGUCCACGCAUUUCAGCAGCGAUCUUCAACCGUCUUCAAAGCAUUUGAGGAAGCCGAGCAUUGGGCUUCUUGAGCUUGGGAUUCUCAGUGCUAGGAACUUGAUGCCUAUGAAAGCUAAAGAUGGGAGGAUGACUGAUCCCUACUGUGUGGCUAAAUAUGGGAACAAAUGGGUGAGAACGAGGACUCUUUUAGACGCGCUUGCACCUAAGUGGAACGAGCAAUAUACCUGGGAAGUUCAUGAUCCUUGCACGGUUAUAACAAUUGGAGUCUUUGACAAUGGUCAGACCAACGAUGGUGGUGACUCCAAGGACCAGAGGAUUGGGAAAGUUAGAGUGAGGCUAUCUACGCUGGAGACAGACCGGGUUUACACUCAUUACUACCCGUUGCUGGUUCUUACGCCCGGUGGUCUAAAGAAGAACGGUGAGCUUCAGCUAGCUCUGAGGUACACUUGCAUCUCCUUUGUUAACAUGAUGGCUCAAUACGGAAGACCGUUGUUGCCCAAAAUGCAUUAUAAAACCAAAUGAUUCAUAUGCUGGAGUAAUAAUCAAGAAUAUUCAACACUUUUUCAUUUGAAUAUUCAAAACAAAUGAUUUCGUUGCUAUCUAUUUCUACAAAUGAUUUUGAUAUAUAAAAAAGUAGUAAUAAUACAAUAAAAUAGUUAAAUUUGGGAGGAAUCGAAAAAUGAAUAAAUGACGUCUUCCUCUUGACUUCUGUCUGAAUGCCCCGAGUUUUACUACUCCUCUUUAACACAUCAUCGCUUGUUUUUUUAACAAAAAUAAAAAAUAAAAAUCAAAGAUGAUAAGUUGUUUCAUCUCUCCUCUUCUCUCCUCAUAACUCUUGUUUCAAUUCAAAUCAGUUGUACCACCGAGUCUUUCUUUGCCGGACGUUUUGCCUCUAAACACCGACUUCAAGAAACUCCAAAAAAAUAAUUCCGAUAUGAGCAAACUAGUCGUUGAAAUCGUGGACGCGAGCGACUUGAUGCCCAAAGACGGGCAAGGGUCAGCGAGUCCAUUCGUGGAGGUUGAAUUCGACGACCAGCGGCAGAGAACGCAAACGCGGUUCAAAGAUCUAAACCCUCAGUGGAACGAGAAGCUAGUUUUCAACGUCGGUGACUUGAGGCGUUUGACCAACAAGACCAUCGACGUCACCGUCUACGACGACCGCCGUGAUAACCAGCCGGGAAAGUUCCUUGGCCGCGUAAAAAUCUCCGGCGCGGUUGUUCCGUUAUCGGAAUCUGAAGGCGAUGUGCAGAGGUAUCCACUAGACAAACGAGGUUUGUUCUCUCACAUCAAAGGCGAUAUCGCUCUUAGAAUCUACGCCGCUCCUGUCGACGGCUCAGAUUUCAUUCCUCCGCCGGCAGAGAAGGAGAGCAAGGAGGAGCCUCAGGAGGAGUUUCAUAAUCAAAACCAAAACCAAAACUCAUUCGAAGAGGUUUACGUGGAGACGAUGAAGCCGAAGAAGAAAGAGAAAGAAACAAGAACUUUCCACUCGAUCGGAGCUGAGCAAUCGUUUGAAGCAAAGCCGCCUUCGCACCUUCCUCCUAACCAACCGGAGUUUAGGUCAGAUUUCAUGAGAGCUCCGGGACCACCGCCCGGCGCCGUGAUGCAGAUGCCACUACCACCGAGACAGAAUCCUGAGUUUCAGCUCAUCGAAACCAGUCCUCCGUUAGCAGCUCGGAGGCGACAGUCGUACUAUUACCGGAGCAGCGGAGACAAAACCUCGAGCACCUACGACCUCGUGGAGCAGAUGCAUUACCUCUACGUCAGCGUGGUCAAGGCUCGAGAUCUCCCCGUGAUGGACGUCUCCGGUAGCUUAGAUCCUUACGUGGAAGUGAAGCUUGGCAA